RNAcentral lists this ribosomal RNA (434 nucleotides) under soil clone WD5. RNAcentral describes it as "bacterial SSU rRNA". It matches the Rfam family "Bacterial small subunit ribosomal RNA", at positions 46 to 526 of the family's 1533-position model. Lineage: Bacteria; Pseudomonadati; Pseudomonadota; Alphaproteobacteria; Sphingomonadales; Sphingomonadaceae. The record is from RNAcentral.
GCCUAACACAUGCAAGUCGAACGAGACCUUCGGGUCUAGUGGCGCACGGGUGCGUAACGCGUGGGAAUCUGCCCUUGGGUUCGGAACAACAGUUGGAAACGACUGCUAAUACCGGAUGAUGACUUCGGUCCAAAGAUUUAUCGCCCAGGGAUGAGCCCGCGUAGGAUUAGCUUGUUGGUGAGGUAAAAGCUCACCAAGGCGACGAUCCUUAGCUGGUCUGAGAGGAUGAUCAGCCACACUGGGACUGAGACACGGCCCAGACUCCUACGGGAGGCAGCAGUGGGGAAUAUUGGACAAUGGGCGAAAGCCUGAUCCAGCAAUGCCGCGUGAGUGAUGAAGGCCUUAGGGUUGUAAAGCUCUUUUACCCGGGAUGAUAAUGACAGUACCGGGAGAAUAAGCCCCGGCUAACUCCGUGCCAGCAGCAGCGGUAAUAA